Molecule: unclassified non-coding RNA, 5189 nt
Organism: Vigna unguiculata (cowpea)
Lineage: Eukaryota; Viridiplantae; Streptophyta; Magnoliopsida; Fabales; Fabaceae
Source: RefSeq, a predicted model, not a curated record
UACUAAGUUCGUAAUAGUGUGGGACUUCAAGUUGCUCAGCUAUGCAAAUUCUUUACCACUUUCCAAAGCUCAGAACAAAUUACAAAUCCCUAAAGCAAUGAUCCUCAAACGCCUCAUCAACCCUCCUCUUCCCCCAAUUUCAUCUUCUUUCACCGUUUAUCGCUUCCACGUUUUAGCUUCUGCUUCAAUCUCCCACACUCCUCACUCUCUAUCCGACGUCGUUUCCUCCUUUCACCGCACCAUCAACGACCCCAAUUCGACACCCUCCGAACCAGCAUGCAACUCUCUCAUCGACGACCUACGCAAGGCACGACAAUACGACGUCGUUGUGUCGGUUUACCGCAAGAUGGCUUCCGCGUGCGUUUCGCCCUGGCACACUUCUCUCACCGUGUUAAUAGAAAGCUUCGUCAACACCCAUCACCCAAGUUUUGCUGUUGGAGUCCUUGGCCUAAUGAUAAAACGCGGCUUUCGGGCUCACGUCUAUAACAUGAACCUCGUGUUGAAGGGUUUUUGCCGGAGUGGUCAAUUCGACAAGGCAAUGGAUUUGUUGUCUCAAAUGAAGAAAAAUAGUGAUUAUGUGGCUCCUGAUAAUGUUACUUACAAUACCCUUAUAACUGGAUUGUGUAAAGCUAAAAGAUUGGUGGAAGCUAGGGUUUUGUUUGAUGCAAUGAAGGUUGGGGAGAGCAAACCCAAUUUGGUGACAUAUAGUGUUUUGAUUGAUUGUCUUUGUAAGAAUGAUCAAGUUUGUGAGGGGUUGGUUUUGUUGGAGGAGAUGGAGAGGGAGGGUUUGAAAGCUGAUGUGUUUCUGUAUAGUUCUCUAAUCAGUGUCUUUUGUGGCAAGGGUGAUGUUGAGAGGGGGAUUGAACUGUUUGAUGAUAUGAAAAGGAAGAAGGUUAGUCCCAAUGUGGUUACAUAUAGUUGUUUGAUGCAUGGUCUUAGCAAGAUUGGACGGUGGCGAGAGGCGUCUGACAUGUUGAAGGACAUGACGGCACGAGGAAUUCGGCCGGAUGUUGUUACUUACUCGGUUUUGGCAGAUGGGCUUUGCAAGAAUGGGAGGGCGGAGGAUGCCAUUAAGGUGUUGGAUUUGAUGGAGCAGAAGGGGGAGGAGCCAAGUACUUUCACAUACAACGUUGUUGUGAAUGGAUUUUGUAAGGAGGAUCGUGUGGAGGAUGCAUUUGGGAUUGUGGAAAUGAUGGCGAAGAAGGGGAAGAAGCCUGAUGUGGUAACUUAUAAUACGUUGAUGAAAGGACUAUGUGGAGCUGGCAAAGUUGAUGAGGCGAUGGAUCUUUGGAAUUUGUUGGUGAGCGACAAGUUCCAUAUGAAGCCGGAUGUCUUCACUUUUAAUUAUUUAAUUCAGGGACUUUGCAAGGAAGGACAUCUUCGUGAUGCUGUGAGGGUCCAUUCUACUAUGGUUGAAAUGGGGUUCCUAGGUAACAUAGUAACUUAUAAUGUUUUGAUCGAGGGUUAUCUAAGUGUUCGGAAACUUAUUAAGGCGUUGGGACUCUGGAAAAAUGCUGUAGACUCUGGAUUUUCUCCCAAUUCAAUGACUUACAGAGUUUUUAUUCUUGGUCUGUGCAAAAUGCAGGUGCUGAAUAUUGCAAAAGGACUUUUUAUUAAAAUGAAAGAUUCUGGGAUUAAACCUACAGUAGUUGAAUACAAUGCACUAAUGGCAUCUUUGUGCAGGGAAGAUAGUCUGGAGCAAGCUAGGAGUUUAUUUCAAGCAAUGAGAAAUGUGAAUCAUGAUGUUGAUGUUGUCUCCUUUAAUAUAGUAAUUGAUGGAACCCUCAAAGCGGGAGAUACUAAACAUGCCAAGGAAUUGCUAUCGGAGAUGCUUAACAUGGAUUUGAUCCCCGAUGCCGUAACCUUUUCUAUAUUAAUAAAUAGGUUCUCAAAACUUGGGCUGUUGGAUGAAGCCAUGUCCCUCUUUGAGAAAAUGGUCUCGUCUGGUCAUGUACCAGAUGGUGUUGUAUUUGAUUCUUUGCUAAAAGGCUGUGGUUUAAAGGGAGAGAUAGAAAAAGUCAUUUCCUUGCUUCAUCAAAUGGCUGAUAAGGAUGUUGUUCUGGACUCAAAAUUAACAUCUACCAUCUUAGCAUGCCUUUGUCACAUGUCAAGAGAUCUUGAUGUAGAGAAGAUUCUUCCAAAUUUUUCACAACACACUGAACAUACAUCAAAAGGAACAACAAUUAAAUGUCACGAGUUCUUGAUGAAGCUGAAUGAUGUUCAUCCAGAACUCAAAUUAUUUGUUGCACGAUAGUGUGUGUUUUCAGGUGCAUGCUACCAUGGUACUAUAAGUAUGUGAGUAUGCUAGGAGGCACUUGUGUGGUCUUGGAUUUUGAUCCAUUACCUGUUUUGUGCCUGAUCGGGUAUUUGAGAAGGGUUCAUAUAUUUGUUAAUCUUUGAUAAGCUGUAACCUCAUUUCUGUAUACAAGUAUUAUUCAAAGAUGGAUUGGCAACAUGACGAUUAUGGAGUUUUGAGGCCAUGUGCAUUUCAACAAGUUGCCAUUUUAUGAUAAAGAGUUGCAAGUGUAAAGUUCUGCAUCAUGGUAUACAAUGCCCCAUUUGAUACUGAUACGUAACCAAUCCAUGAAUGAGAUUUGUAAAGUGUCUUCUUACAGGUUUACUUCUAUCACUGUCUGCUUUUGAAGUAGUCAAGAAUGUCAGAAUGACUUCCCUCUCCCGACAGUGGAGGGAUAACAGUCUGCCGCAGUUACUCUGUAUGCCUAGUGAGCCUAGUUUACUUAGACCACCACCGUUUUACCUUUUUAAUGAACUCACUGUCGUAAUCUCAAACUAUUGUUAACAAAUAUUUUUCUUCAAUUCAUAAGGUUAGUUACGAUGUGCAUUGUUUAUUGAUCUUCGAUCCAUACUUUUCUGCCUUCUUCUGUGAAUAACAUAGAACAAAUAAACUAAAACAUUGAUUUGGGAAUACUGAAUAGUUAAAGUUAGCUUAAAUGUUCAUUGUUAGGUAGAGCUAUUGCUACAUACUGCUGAAUUCUCGUGCCCAAGGGUGGACAAAAUAUGUGUUUGGACCAAUCUGAUCCAGUUUUGCACUGCUCUGGUCCAUUAAAAAUUCAUUUCCUUAAAUCUGUUAUCUAUCUCCUUAUAUAUUUCACAAGUUUUCCAAACCAAAUUCAAAACCAUCAACUCCUUCCCAAUCCCAAAAUCUGAAACUCAUGAACCCCUUCCUGAUCCCAAAUAAACCCUAAAUCCUCUUAUCUCUUCUUUUUUUAUAAUUGAUCCAAACCUGAUGGUAAAUCUAAUUGGUAAUAUGAACGUAUGUUAUGUGUUUCUCCGUUUCUCCUUCUGUUCCUUUUUCUAGUUUUAAUUUUUUUGUUGGAUUUUGUUUGUGCAGAAUGCACGGUGGUGCCACCGCUGUGCUGGUUGUUGUGGCACCGAAAUUCCCACCAUUGCAUAAUCAGGUUGCUAUUAUAAGGUUUGUUUCGUUCUUUCAGUGUAGUUACUUAUUAUUUGGGGUUACUGUAGUUUCUUUAUGUGUUGUCUCUUUUCAUUCAUUUCUGUUGCUGUUAUAAGGUUGGUACAUUUCACUUGGAGAGCUCCUCAGAAAAAGUGCUAGCCAGAGAUUGAAUGGUUUUUUAUACAAACAUACAUUUGUUAUUCACUACAAUUACUUAGCAUUUAGAAAUAUAUCAUUAUGUCCAACCAAUAUAUGCACUAAUGUAUAAGGUUUUUUAUAUUGUCAUUGAUAUUUGAUAAUUUAUUAACCUUCAUAAGAAUUACCUUGAAAACCACAUUAAGAACGUUUUGACAGAACCAUUAAACCGUAUCCUUAUUAUUUCAAUGAUUAGAUGACCUCUUAUUAAAGAGAUAUUUCACAGAACUUUUGGAUUAUCAUGGAUAAACACUUACCAGAAAUGAGAGCAUCGUAGAACUCAUAAUUCUCUUCCAGCUCUGCUGGUUUUCCUUUGGACUGCUGCAAGUGGGUUACUACUUCAGGCUUCAAAUAAACCCCCGAUUGAAUAGAAUUUCACAUGGAUAAAGUGGAUCUCCAUGUCUUAAGUUUACUGCUUCAAUUUUUAACAUGGAUGAAAACAUCAGCAUACACCUGUUGUUCUGUAGCAGUGAUCUUAGAUGGAUAAGGGAUUUCAUCAACCAACACCCGUUUUGUACCAACUGAAAUUAAAUUCACAAAACAAUCAAUAUUUCUCUUACAUACAAGCACCAAAGAUUAGAAUCAAUAAACAACAUUCAGCAAAUCAUUGGGUUGAGGGAGAGAGAUCUUACUAGUUAAAUUUGAUGGAGAUGGAGAUGAAGAGUAGAAGAAGAGUGGAGAUGAACAAACUGGCGUGGCAAAAAGUGAGUUAAUUAGAGUAGAUAUUGAAGGGUAUUUAUUUAGACCCUAUCUUCCAGACAAGGAUGAAAAUAAUAAGGUGGUAGGUAGCUAGAGCAAGUUGGUCUUACACCUAAGUUAGUCAAUUGCUAACAAUUAGAGUGGACAAUAGAAAAAUUUUUGAUGCUGAAAAGACAAACUAUGGAUGUGUGUUAAAGUUGUUGUUUAAUGAAUAUAAAGGUCAAAUAGAAAUAAAAGAUGAUUAAAACACUCUUAAUCAUUAAAUUGUAUGCUUGUGUUGAAUAGGACGAUAAUGUUCCACUUAAGUUGGCCGUAUUGUUAAACAUGCUAUACCUGAGAUAUUGUUUGUGUUGACUCUUCAGGCCUUUAUAGUUUGUGCUUUUAGAAGCGGUUCAGUGGGUUAAGGGAUAAACUAUUUAAACUUCAUUUGUAUUGAAUGUUGGGAGAUGGAACAAAUACUUAAUUGACAGUCAACCUAUUGUGUUAGUUUCUUUUGUUUUGCUAAGCUUGUAUCCUUUUUGCAGAGGAAAUUUUCUAGCCUAUUCUACAUACCGUGAGAACCAGAGGAGUAAUUGUGGACAAGUGGUUCAUGAGAAUUCUUUGGGCUUUUUUUUUUUUCUUUCUUCUCUUUGUUUUAAACGAAUUACAUGUGCUGGAAGAUUGUUCAUAUUCAACUAAAUUAACUUACAAAUUCAGAAAGUAAUUUGGAGAACCAAAUUGGAGUUCACUGAUGAAGUUCAGAAAAAAAAAAAUUGAGUCCAACUUUGAGAGGUUGUCAAACUCAUAGAGGUGUUUGUAUGUGAUGGCAUCCUUCAUCCCAAACAUUCUCCUUUUCCUAUGUUUGAUAUUUAUCCUUUAUAUAUGCUUUAUGAAAUUCCUA